AUUGAACGCUGGCGGCAUGCUUUACACAUGCAAGUCGAACGGGCUGUCGGGGCAACCUGGCAGUCAGUGGCGAACGGGUGAGUAAUACAUCGGAACGUGUCCUUGAGUGGGGAGUAACCCGGCGAAAGACCGGACUAAUACCGCAUACGCUCUAAGGAGGAAAGACGGGGACCGAGCAAUGGCCUCGUGCUGAAGGAGCGGCCGAUGUCCGAUUA
Molecule: ribosomal RNA, 215 nt
Filed under: uncultured bacterium
Lineage: Bacteria
Description: partial 16S ribosomal RNA
Rfam family: Bacterial small subunit ribosomal RNA
Source: RNAcentral